Molecule: ribosomal RNA, 515 nt
Filed under: uncultured bacterium
Lineage: Bacteria
Description: partial 16S ribosomal RNA
Rfam family: Bacterial small subunit ribosomal RNA
Source: RNAcentral
GAUGAACGCUGGCGGCGUGCCUAAAACAUGCAAGUCGAGCGAAUGGAUUAAGAGCUUGCUCUUAUGAAGUUAGCGGCGGACGGGUGAGUAACACGUGGGUAACCUGCCCAUAAGACUGGGAUAACUCCGGGAAACCGGGGCUAAUACCGGAUAACAUUUUGAACCGCAUGGUUCGAAAUUGAAAGGCGGCUUCGGCUGUCACUGAUGGAUGGACCCGCGUCGCAUUAGCUAGUUGGUGAGGUAACGGCUCACCAAGGCAACGAUGCGUAGCCGACCUGAGAGGGUGAUCGGCCACACUGGGACUGAGACACGGCCCAGGCUCCUACGGGAGGCAGCAGUAGGGAAUCUUCCGCAAUGGACGAAAGUCUGACGGAGCAACGCCGCGUGAGUGAUGAAGGCUUUCGGGUCGUAAAACUCUGUUGUUAGGGAAGAACAAGUGCUAGUUGAAUAAGCUGGCACCUUGACGGUACCUAACCAGAAAGCCACGGCUAACUACGUGCCAGCAGCCGCGGUAA